Molecule: long non-coding RNA, 467 nt
Organism: Nothoprocta perdicaria
Lineage: Eukaryota; Metazoa; Chordata; Aves; Tinamiformes; Tinamidae
Exons: 4
Source: RefSeq, a predicted model, not a curated record
AAGAGAAGUGGAUGAAGGACGACCUUAGCUUCUGGAGCAUUGUUUUUGUCUGGUCCAUUGCUGUGACUCCCAGGCUUCCCAGCCUUUUAUUGUGUCCAAAGUUCUACCUCAUUUUAGGACACACACAGUCCUGGUCCUCCUCCUGUUCUGUGAGGUUAUCACCUUAAUAAGAUGAUGAUCAGAGAGAGACCAUCCAGCUCUCUGGCAAGAAGACAGACCAGACCAAUUAUCCUGAUUCAACCUCAAAAAAGAAUGGACUCAAACAGAAUUCCAAAGCCGUUUCAGGACAAGGGAACAGAAUGAGAAGCUGAAGUCUUAUUGAGCUGUCAUCGUUGUAUAUUGGCCUUUGCUUAUGCCAGCCAGAAUAUUUGAGAAACCUGAUAGCAAUUGAUCUAUCAAAUGAAAAAAUAAUGACUUCGGAUAUGAAGGUAGGACUUUUUGAUGGCUGAAAUGCAACCAAAGAUACU